UUUUAAAUAAAAUAUUUGAUCCUUUCGUACUAAAAUAUUUUUUUAUAUAAAAGAUAGAAACCAACCUGGCUUACACCGGUUUAAACUCAGAUCAUGUAAAAUUUUAAAGGUCGAACAGACCUAAAAUUUUAGCUUCUACACCAAAAUUAAAUUUUAAUCCAACAUCGAGGUCGCAAUCUUUUUUUUCAAUAAGAACUCUCAAAAAAAAUUACGCUGUUAUCCCUAAGGUAAUUUUUUCUUUUAAUCAUUUUUAUGGAUCAAAAAUUCAUUAAUUAAUGGUUUUAUUAAAAAAAAGUUUUUUAAAUUUUUUAGUCACCCCAACUCAAUUUUAAAAAAUUAUUAUUAUACACAAUCCUUAAAUAAAAAUAAACUUCCUAAAAUUAAACUCUAUAGGGUCUUCUCGUCUUUUUAUAAAAUUUAAGCUUUUUUACUUAAAAAUAAAAUUCUAAAAAAUUAAUAUUGAGACAGAAAUUCUCUCAUCAAACCAUUCAUUCAAGCUUUCAAUUAAAAAACUAAUGAUUAUGCUACCUUUGCACAGUCAAAAUACUGCGGCCCUUUAAUUAAUCAGUGGGCAGGCCCAACUUUAAAUUAUUUUC
Molecule: ribosomal RNA, 596 nt
Filed under: Epilachna sp. NK-G
Lineage: Eukaryota; Metazoa; Arthropoda; Insecta; Coleoptera; Coccinellidae
Description: partial 16S ribosomal RNA
Source: RNAcentral